This is a long non-coding RNA of Marmota flaviventris (yellow-bellied marmot), 429 nucleotides long. RefSeq lists it as uncharacterized. NCBI's taxonomy places the organism in Eukaryota, Metazoa, Chordata, Mammalia, Rodentia, Sciuridae. The record is from RefSeq and is a predicted model, not a curated record.
AAGGCCACGCAACUCUGGGAUCCAGCUUCCUGUUGAUUUCUCUGCUAGUGUGCCUUAGGGAUCAUGAAAUUGGAUGAACAGUUGCAGUACUGAAUGUGGAGGAACUUCAUGAGCUGGAAAAUAAUCUUCCCCCAGGUGUCGGGAAUCACGCUGGAGUUGCCCGGCCAGAGGUCCAGGGCUACACCUGAACAGCGUGUCUCAACCGAUGGCCAGAUGCGCACCACGUGUCCCAUGCACUGCUGCGUGCAGCGCCAACCGUGUUUACAGGGAUGGCAGCAACUCUUCUAGGAACACAGUUGUCUACCUGGGUUCCGGACACUGUUGGACAGGUACACAGCGCCCAGAGGAGGAGCCGCGUGUGGGGCAGGCAGUACUCACACGGCUUGCAGAGGGGACCGUCCGGGACUGCUGUCGCUCUCGUUGCUGUUG